CAUCCUCAAACUGGGAUCAAGAGGAGAUGGAGUCACAUUUGAACAGGCAAGCACUGAACCCCUGGGAUGUAGCUGGUGGGUUAAAGCCCACUCAUGACAAUUUUGUAGAUAGAUACCUCCGAGAGAAGGUGGAAGAUGAAGCUCCAAGGCAGAACUACAUCAGUACUCUCAAUCAGGCCCUGGAGGACAACCCCUACUGGGUUGGACAUAAUCAGCUUUUCUACCAGGUGUUGAGCCCUGUGACAGCAGAAGGAGGGCUCAGAGCCACGGCCAGAAAAGCUGAGCAACGUCUAAACAGGAACUGGGAUUUUCUCUCUGACCCAUUGGCUCAGAGCCACCUCGCUGAGAGCAGCAGGGGAGAGGCCAUGGCUGAAGAGAAGCAUUCCUCUCAAGGCGGGCACCUCCUGAUCAUGCCUGCCACCACAGACACACAGGGGAAGCAACAGGAGGAAGGGUCAAUGUUCAUAAAAAAAUCUGGGAGACCCCAAGGCCCAGAUCUUGCACUGGUUCCAGGUGAGCUCUUGAAUACCACAGUCCAUCAUCACCUGCACUUGCUGGAGCCAGACGAAGGCCUGUGGGCGUUCAUGGGCCAUGUGGAGCAAGCCCUGAGGACUGGCUGCAGCCUGCCCCAGAUCAAGCAGGCCUGUGCCAGGACAUUCUCAAAGAUUGGGCUACUUCUAAAGGAGCUCAGUGAGAGGCAAGAGACCCAGGGAGCCUCUGAUCGCAUGGGCCAGUGUCCCCUGCAAGACAACAUCUCCAGACGCACAGCUUUGCAGGAUCAGGAGCCCGCAGAAAAGGUGUGUUCCCGAUGUGCUGCAGCUAUUUGCCGACAGCUACCCAGCUGGAAAUCGUGGCUGAGAAGGCUGUCUAUAAAACUGAAACAGAGAUGGAGGAAGAACAAGUACAGGGAUGUAGAGGAUGCAGAGCAGGUAAGGGCAGGAACAGAUGCCAGUGCUGCUCCUCUACCUGCACCACCUGCUCUGCCUCACCUCUCUAAAUCUGUGGCAAUUUCCAGGACCUGCCUGAGCUCAGUGAAGCUGAAUUGCUGGUGGUUCAAUACAUCAUGGAUGUCCUUGAUAAAGAGGAAGAAGAAUUGCAGAAACAAAUGCAGAAAGAGAAUACAGAUGUCUCACAAGAAGAGAUACAACAUGAAGAACUUGAGUGAGGGGAAGAUGGAUGCCAACACUUCUUCUCCAGCUCCUGCACCCAUACAGGAGUUGCGGAAGCUUUCCUUUGAUUCUAAUCCUUGAUCCUUGGAUCCCAGUUCUUGCCUUGGAGGCUAUUUCCUUAGCUAUUUCCAUACUGAUAUUUCUUUAACUCUCAUUGAAUGAUACUUCCUUCACAGUUCUUUCCUUGGAUAUUAUUCCUAAUAAAUGCUGGUUUUGUGCAGCCA
Molecule: long non-coding RNA, 1393 nt
Filed under: Parus major (Great Tit)
Lineage: Eukaryota; Metazoa; Chordata; Aves; Passeriformes; Paridae
Description: lncRNA (ENSPMJG00000004044.1)
Source: RNAcentral